AGUGAACGCUGGCGGUAGGCCUAACACAUGCGAGUCGAACGGCAGCACAGUAAGAGCUUGCUCUUACGGGUGGCGAGUGGCGGACGGGUGAGGCAUACAUCGGAAUCUACUUUUUCGUGGGGGAUAACGUAGGGAAACUUACGCUAAUACCGCAUACGACCUACGGGUGAAAGCAGGGGAUCUUCGGACCUUGCGCGAUUGAAUGAGCCGAUGUCGGAUUAGCUAGUUGGCGGGGUAAAGGCCCACCAAGGCGACGAUCCGUAGCUGGUCUGAGAGGAUGAUCAGCCGCACUGGAACUGAGACACGGUCCAGACUCCUACGGGAGGCAGCAGUGGGGAAUAUUGGACAAUGGGCGCAAGCCUGAUCCAGCCAUACCGCGUGGGUGAAGAAGGCCUUCGGGUUGUAAAGCCCUUUUGUUGGGAAAGAAAAGCAGCAGGUUAAUACCCCGCUGUUCUGACGGUACCCAAAGAUUAAGCACCGGCUAACUUCGUG
This 492-nucleotide ribosomal RNA is filed under the name uncultured bacterium. Its description in RNAcentral is "partial 16S ribosomal RNA". It matches the Rfam family "Bacterial small subunit ribosomal RNA", at positions 29 to 507 of the family's 1533-position model. The record is from RNAcentral.